This 280-nucleotide unclassified non-coding RNA is filed under the name rhizosphere metagenome. RNAcentral describes it as "partial ribosomal RNA internal transcribed spacer region". The record is from RNAcentral.
GUAGGUGAACCUGCGGAAGGACCAUUGUCGUGACCCUGACCAAAACAGACCGCGCACGCGUCAUCCUGCCUUCCGGGCGGCAGCAUCGUUCAUCGCCCGGCCAAAGUCCUCGAAAACCUCCUCUCUUCGGAGCGGCGGCUCGGGGUAAAAGAACCCACGGCGCCGAAGGCGUCAAGGAACACUGUGCCUAACCCGGGGACGCCGCUGGCUUGUUGGCCGCACCUUGGGUUGCAAUGCUAUAUAAUCCACAUGACUCUCGGCAACGGAUAUCUCGGCUCUC